Molecule: ribosomal RNA, 316 nt
Filed under: Candona sp. 53 IK-2020
Lineage: Eukaryota; Metazoa; Arthropoda; Ostracoda; Podocopida; Candonidae
Description: partial large subunit ribosomal RNA
Source: RNAcentral
GGGGGGGGGGAUGAAAGGUUUUAUGGAGAAUAGCUGUUUUAAAAGAAAAAAUUGAAUUUAAGUCCUUCAUAAAAACUUGAAGGGGGGCUCAAGGGACGAGAAGACCCUGUGGAUUUUUAUUUAUUAGAAAAUAGAUUUUAUAAUAUUUUAUUUUUUGUUUAAAUUUGGUUGGGACGACAGUAAAGUUAACUUUAUCAAAAAGAUAAUUAAGACCCUUUUUAAGGGAUAAAGAACAAAUUACCCCAGGGAUAACAGCGUAAUACUUUUGGACAGGACAAAUGGAUAAAAGUGUUUGCGACCUCGAUGUUGAAAUUAA